RNAcentral lists this ribosomal RNA (429 nucleotides) under Gemmatimonadota bacterium. Its description in RNAcentral is "Gemmatimonadetes bacterium partial 16S ribosomal RNA". It matches the Rfam family "Bacterial small subunit ribosomal RNA", at positions 355 to 776 of the family's 1533-position model. The record is from RNAcentral. Lineage: Bacteria; Pseudomonadati; Gemmatimonadota.
UAGGGAAUCUUCGGCAAUGGACGAAAGUCUGACCGAGCAACGCCGCGUGAGUGAAGAAGGUUUUCGGAUCGUAAAACUCUGUUGUUAGAGAAGAACAAGGACGUUAGUAACUGAACGUCCCCUGACGGUAUCUAACCAGAAAGCCACGGCUAACUACGUGCCAGCAGCCGCGGUAAUUCGUAGGUGGCAAGCGUUGUCCGGAUUUAUUGGGCGUAAAGCGAGCGCAGGCGGUUUCUUAAGUCUGAUGUGAAAGCCCCCGGCUCAACCGGGGAGGGUCAUUGGAAACUGGGAGACUUGAUUGCAGAAGAGGAGCGUGGAAUUCCAUGUGUAGCGGUGAAAUGCGUAGAUAUAUGGAGGCACACCAGUGGCGAAGGCGGCUAUCUGGUCUGUAACUGACGCUGAGGCUCGAAAGCGUGGGGAGCAAACAGG